UACGUAGGGUGCGAGCGUUAAUCGGAAUUACUGGGCGUAAAGCGCACGCAGGCGGCUUUGUAAGUUAGAGGUGAAAGCCCAGAGCUCAACUCUGGAAUUGCCUUUAAGACUGCAUCGCUUGAACAUCGGAGAGGUGAGUGGAAUUCCGAGUGUAGAGGUGAAAUUCGUAGAUAUUCGGAGGAACACCAGUGGCGAAGGCGGCUCACUGGCUCGACACUGACGCUGAGGUGCGAAAGCGUGGGGAGCAAACAGG
This 253-nucleotide ribosomal RNA is filed under the name uncultured bacterium. RNAcentral's name for it is "partial 16S ribosomal RNA". It matches the Rfam family "Bacterial small subunit ribosomal RNA", at positions 524 to 776 of the family's 1533-position model. The record is from RNAcentral.